UACGUAGGAGGCAAGCGUUGUCCGGAUUUACUGGGCGUAAAGAGCGUGUAGGCGGCCACGCAGGUCCGUUGUGAAAACUGAAGGCUCAACCUCCAGACGUCGACGGAAACCGUAUGGCUAGAGUCCGGAAGAGGAGAGUGGAAUUCCUGGUGUAGCGGUGAAAUGCGCAGAUAUCAGGAAGAACACCAAUGGCGAAGGCAGCUCUCUGGGACGGUACUGACGCUGAGACGCGAAAGCGUGGGGAGCGAACAGG
This 253-nucleotide ribosomal RNA is filed under the name uncultured bacterium. Its description in RNAcentral is "partial 16S ribosomal RNA". It matches the Rfam family "Bacterial small subunit ribosomal RNA", at positions 524 to 776 of the family's 1533-position model. The record is from RNAcentral.